Vicia faba (fava bean) is the source of this 306-nucleotide non-coding RNA. The record is from the annotation of a GenBank genome assembly. Lineage: Eukaryota; Viridiplantae; Streptophyta; Magnoliopsida; Fabales; Fabaceae.
GGGCGGAUUACAAUUUAUCAUAGAACACAAAACCAAAAUGCGAACUCCUCUGUUCAUCUUCCUUAUUCCGCCCUCACCCAUUUCCAUUUCCGCGAGCAAAUCUCACUGUUACCCCGCCUUGUCUCCCUUCCAGCAUCGUACUGCUCUAUCCGCCCACAACAACUUACUGUCAUCAUUCCCAACCGCCUACGCUCAUCACCAUCAACCUCAUACUUCCUUCUUUAUACUGUCGGAUACUCCCUUCAUUCAGCGAUUCCGGAUAACACCCAAACACCAUCUGUAAUUCACUUCUCAUUAUUUUGGUAG